GAGCUCUUCUAUACCUAUUUCUUUAAUUUCCUUAUGUCCCUUUUUUAUCACUAAAUCAACUUCUGCAGGCGUUUAGAAUAAACUUUUGGUAAGGGUUUCUGAUCUUUUUUUUUCAAUAGGAGCAACAGUAGGGAUGACAGAGAAAAUGUUGGAGUGAGAGAUGAAAGAGAAAGGAUUGAGAGGAAUGAGGGAGAUGAGUAAGGGUUUGGGGGUUUCUUUUUUUUUUUUUUAGUUUUGAGAAUGAAAAUUAUUUAAAUAUCCUUGACCUUAAAACUUAGAAUCCAUGAUAAAUGAGGGUAUUUUUGUCUACUAUAAUCCGAUACACAUUGUUAAAACGUACCAACUGAAAAACAGGCGUACGCAUGUUAAC
This 370-nucleotide long non-coding RNA is filed under the name Vigna radiata. RNAcentral describes it as "long non-coding RNA (VRAD_LNC006107)". Lineage: Eukaryota; Viridiplantae; Streptophyta; Magnoliopsida; Fabales; Fabaceae. The record is from RNAcentral.